CAAGAAGUGAAACAGCAGACAGAAUUGCAAACGAAAACAAGAGGCUCCAGAAAGAUGAAAAACCCGCACACACCUGUCUCUGAAGGUCUUAGAAGGACCUGAAGAAAUGAGAUUUUCCUCAUCAUCAAAGUGUGGGAGCCCUUUGAAGGAUGGGCAAUGGCUGCUGAGAAGAAUUCAGACUGGAGCUGUGGUCUAGAUGCAGCAACUGAGGAUAAUCAAAUAAAUGUGCUAUGUUGGACACUGUGACGGGAAGAAGAUGGAAGAGAGAGGAUGUGAGCAUGUAUAUUUGAAGACGAGGGAAAGAGUGGCUGUGGCAGAAAAAUCAACUCGUACACUGAGUGAGUCAUGUGCAGUUUUCCGGAGUACACAGACUCUUCACCUAUGGUUGGAUUCCCAGGGGACCAUGGUUCCUAAGUGCCUCAGGAUGUCAUUUUCGGGCGUCCCCUCCGCCCUUGGCACAGACUCCCACAGGCCCCCGACGAACUCGGAUGGAUCUUCGCCCUGGCCAGGAGCCCAGCCUAAGAGCCAGCCCGGACAGCGCUGCCCCUCCCCUCCAAGCGACAGCAUUGUGAAGACUGGAGAGCAAAACGGGUCGCCCACAAGGAAACUCCAGAAAGCGGGCAGUCAGAAGUGCUGCAGGGAGCACUUCCGGCACAGCCUCUGCGGGCGGUCAGAGGUGCGGGCGGUCAGAGGUGCGGCCUGGGGUCGCCGGCGGACUGUUCCCAUGCUUGUGAGUGUCGGGUUGUAGGAGUGGAGCAGCUUCUAGGAGUAGUGACUGGGUUGGUAUGACAGCCAGGGCUCUCACCUUUGAACCUCAAGUGAGUCCCUCCCUGAGGACCAAGCUGGGAGACCCAAGAAACACACUGGGCACCGCCCCUCUCUUGGCCGCUCCCACUUGAAUCAAGGCCACCAAGACCCUUUUCUCACCUGGAAAGGGCAAUCAGGCAGAUCUGAAGAUGGCCGUGCUGCUAGAGGAAAGUCUGCACGCCGCAGACUCAGCAGCACCACCCGCUUCACAGACCUCUGUACCUCCCAGGAAGUCUCUUACCGCCAACAGUUUCUCACCUCCUCUGUCUGGGUAUCGGGUCAGUCUCUUCAGAAAUAAACCGUGAAUGGUGUUUGUGACAGAGAA
Molecule: long non-coding RNA, 1132 nt
Filed under: Heterocephalus glaber (naked mole-rat)
Lineage: Eukaryota; Metazoa; Chordata; Mammalia; Rodentia; Bathyergidae
Description: lncRNA (ENSHGLG00000039764.1)
Source: RNAcentral